RNAcentral lists this ribosomal RNA (988 nucleotides) under Trogodendron fasciculatum. RNAcentral describes it as "partial 16S ribosomal RNA". Lineage: Eukaryota; Metazoa; Arthropoda; Insecta; Coleoptera; Cleridae. The record is from RNAcentral.
GAUUUAAAUUAUUUAUUUUUUAUUUUUAAUUUUUGAUUUUUAAGAAAAAUAUUUUUAUUUUUAUUAUUAUUUAAGAAAAAAUAUUAUUUAAUUAUAGAUAAAUAGUAUUGUGAAAGAAUAUUUUAAAAUAAUUUAAAGAAAAAUUAAAGUUUUGUACCUUGUGUAUCAGGGUUGAUUAAAUUUGAAUUUUAUAUAAAAUAUUCUCGAAUUCAAAAGAGCUAAUUAGUUAUUUAUUUUAUUGUUUAAUAAAUAUUUAUAAUAAUUAAUUAGUAAUGAAACGUUAUUCGUUUUUGAAUAUAUCUAGUUUUUAAAGAAAUUAAUUAAAUUUAUUUUUUAAUAAUUAAAAUUUUAUUUUAUUAGUUUUUUAUUAUUAAAAUUAAAUUAUUUUGGGGAUAAGCUUGGAAUAAGAAUAUUUAUAAUAAAUUAAAAAUUUAAAUAAUUUAUAAGAUUAAAAUUUUCUAUAGAUAACAAAUUGUUAUAAAUGAUUAUUUUUAGAUAUUAUUUUUAUUUUAUUUAAAUAUUUUAUUUAAUUUUAAUAUUUAAUUUUUUAAUAUUAGUAAUUAUGAUUAAAUUAGUAUAAUUAUUCUGUUUAGUUAAAUUAAUAGUUUAAGGUUAAUUUAAGUAACUCGGCAAAAUUAUUUUUCACCUGUUUAUUAAAAACAUGUCCUUUUGAUAUUAAUUUAAGGUCUAAUCUGCCCACUGAGGAGUUGAAUGGCCGCGGUAUUUUGACCGUGCAAAGGUAGCAUAAUCAUUAGUUUCUUAAUUAGAAGCUGGUAUGAACGAUUGGAUGAGAAAAUAACUGUCUCAAUUUAAUUUAUUUAUAAUUUUAUUUUUAAGUUAAAAAGCUUAAAUAAUUUUAAAAGACGAGAAGACCCUAUAGAGUUUUAUUUAAUUUAUUAUUAAUUAAAAUUAGUUUUUAUAUUAGUUAAUAUUAAGUUAAAUUUUGUUGGGGUGACAGAAAAAUUUAUUUAACUUUUUUUAUUUUUUU